This is a non-coding RNA of Pteropus alecto (black flying fox), 82 nucleotides long. NCBI's taxonomy places the organism in Eukaryota, Metazoa, Chordata, Mammalia, Chiroptera, Pteropodidae. The record is from Rfam.
UAUGUACUGCACAACCCUAGGAAUGUGUGCCAUUCACAUAGACUAAAAUUGAAUGGCGCCACUAGGGUUGUGCAGUGUACAA